Regulatory RNA element from Saccharicrinis fermentans, 65 nucleotides. It matches the Rfam family "DUF805 RNA". The record is from Rfam. Lineage: Bacteria; Pseudomonadati; Bacteroidota; Bacteroidia; Marinilabiliales; Marinilabiliaceae.
UACACAUGGAGGCCAGUAACCAUACAAACGGGGUGAAACUGAAAAACCUUACGAGUAGGAAUUUA